Molecule: ribosomal RNA, 472 nt
Filed under: uncultured bacterium
Lineage: Bacteria
Description: partial 16S ribosomal RNA
Rfam family: Bacterial small subunit ribosomal RNA
Source: RNAcentral
GAUGAACGCUGGCGGCGUGCCUAAUACAUGCAAGUCGAGCGAACAGAUGAGGAGCUUGCUCCUCUGACGUUAGCGGCGGACGGGUGAGUAACACGUGGAUAACCUACCUAUAAGACUGGGAUAACUUCGGGAAACCGGAGCUAAUACCGGAUAAUAUAUUGAACCGCAUGGUUCAAUAGUGAAAGACGGUUUUGCUGUCACUUAUAGAUGGGUCCGCGCCGCAUUAGCUAGUUGGUAGGGUAACAGCUUACCAAGGCAACGAUCCAUAGCCGGCCUGAGAGGAGGAUCAGCCACACUGGGACUGGGAAACGGCCCAGAGUCCUACGGGAGGCCGCAGUGGGGAAUAGUGGACAAUGGGGGAAAGCCUGAUCCAGCAAUGCGGCGUGAAUGAUGAAGGCCUUAGGGUUGUAAAGCUCUUUUACCCGGGAUGAUAAUGACAGUACCGGGAGAAUAAGCUACGGCUAACUCCGUG